RNAcentral lists this unclassified non-coding RNA (289 nucleotides) under fungal sp. RNAcentral describes it as "partial internal transcribed spacer region". The stretch from base 1 to 45 matches the Rfam family "Eukaryotic small subunit ribosomal RNA", at positions 1787 to 1831 of the family's 1831-position model. The record is from RNAcentral. Lineage: Eukaryota; Fungi.
AGUCGUAACAAGGUAUCCGUAGGUGAACCUGCGGAUGGAUCAUUAACAAAGGUGUUUUUGAAGUUAUGUGAACAGUUUUGGUGGUUGUGGGAGUGGUGGAUGGUUGUGGGGGGUGGUUGGAGUGGUGGGAGUGGUUAGAUCAAAUCAAACCACACCAAACACACCACACCACACCAAUCACACCCCACUCUCCUCACCCACAUCACCACUCCCAACUUUAAUGUACAAACUGAUGUCUGCCUAGUUUUCUAAACUAAAACAACUUUUAGCAACGGAUAUCUUGGUUCCC